This 774-nucleotide ribosomal RNA is filed under the name uncultured Neocallimastigales. RNAcentral describes it as "partial large subunit ribosomal RNA". It matches the Rfam family "Eukaryotic large subunit ribosomal RNA", at positions 18 to 644 of the family's 3401-position model. Lineage: Eukaryota; Fungi; Neocallimastigomycota; Neocallimastigomycetes; Neocallimastigales. The record is from RNAcentral.
UCAGACGAUGCGUCAUGCAUAUCAAUAAGCGGAGGAAAAGAAACUAACAAGGAUUCCCCUAGUAACGGCGAGUGAAGCGGGAAGAGCUCAAAUUUGAAAUCUUAAAGGGUUUCCCUUUACGAAUUGUAGUUUAAAGAAGUGUUUUCUGUUGAGGUUUUGGUAAAAGUUCUUUGGAAUAGGACAUCAUAGAGGGUGAGAAUCCCGUAUUUGACCUUUACUUUCAACUUUGUGAUACACUUUCAAAGAGUCGGAUUGUUUGGGAAUGCAGUCCAAAAUGGGUGGUAAAUUUCAUCUAAAGCUAAAUAUUGGCGAGAGACCGAUAGCGAACAAGUACCGUGAGGGAAAGAUGAAAAGAACUUUGAAAAGAGAGUUAAACAGUACGUGAAAUUGUCAAAAGGGAAGCGUUUGACACCAGUGUUGUUUUUCAGAAAAUCAAUUAAAAAACUGUUUAUGCUAAGCUGUUUAGACUUUAUCAGCUAUCUGUUUAGUUUUGAGCUUUUCUUUAAUGCACUUUUCAGUUAACAAGUCAACAUCAAUUUCUUUUGCUGUAAAAAAGCUUGAGGAAGGUGGCUUGAGAUUCGUCUUAAGUGUUUAUAGCCUCUUGCCUAUGCAGUCGGAGAGAUUGAGGUCUGCAGCGUAGAUCCUUCGGGGCUAAAUGCAUUUGUGCUAAGUUAUAGCAUUUUAUAGACAACUUGUUGACUAUGAUUUGUCUUGUAGCUUACUCGCUUAUGUUAUUUUACCUACGCUUAGGAUGUUGAAUCUGUGCGAGACUAC